This 347-nucleotide unclassified non-coding RNA is filed under the name Hevea brasiliensis (rubber tree). Lineage: Eukaryota; Viridiplantae; Streptophyta; Magnoliopsida; Malpighiales; Euphorbiaceae. The record is from RNAcentral.
GAGAAACAGGGGCCAUGCGCUGGGGAUUUAAAUCAGCAACAGCCUGAGCAGGACUACCAGUAUCAUUAAGAUUAAAGCGCUUUGUCAUUUCAUCUUGUCUUGGCCACAAUAAUGGGGUCAUUUCCGAAGCAGAGGUAGACGUCCUCCGAUCAUCAUAGCCAACACAACUGGCUUGUGAUCUAGGAGGUGAAACUUUAGAAACAUUUCUUUUUGCAAGAGCCACCUUCUUUCCUCCUUCUUUAAGAGCACCUAAUGCAGCAUUAUAUGUCUCUUGAGAUACAGCCCCUUCUUCAGCACAUCUUAUGGCUUCCCUGCAGAGACUGUUGUAUCUCCGAGCCAUUGAUUCA